AGGUUGUAGUGUGUGAGUGAGGGUGGCAGUGUAUGUCAGGGAUGCAGUGUAUGUGUGGGACAGUAUGUGUGUGUAACAGUUGCAGUGUGUGUAUGGGGGGCAGUGUGUGUGUAUGGGGGGGCAGUAUGUGUGUAUGGGGGGCAGUAUGUGUGUAUGAGGGGCAGUGCGUGUGUAUGAGGGGCAGUGCGUGUGUAUGAGGGGCAGUUUGUG
This is a non-coding RNA of Pelobates cultripes (western spadefoot toad), 210 nucleotides long. Lineage: Eukaryota; Metazoa; Chordata; Amphibia; Anura; Pelobatidae. The record is from the annotation of a GenBank genome assembly.